This 254-nucleotide ribosomal RNA is filed under the name uncultured bacterium. Its description in RNAcentral is "partial 16S ribosomal RNA". It matches the Rfam family "Bacterial small subunit ribosomal RNA", at positions 524 to 776 of the family's 1533-position model. The record is from RNAcentral.
UACGGGGGGGGCAAGCGUUGUUCGGAAUUACUGGGCGUAAAGGGCGCGUAGGCGGCCUGUGCAAGUCAGUUGUGAAAUCUCCGGGCUUAACUCGGAACGGUCAACUGAUACUGCUCGGCUAGAGUGCGGAAGGGGCAACUGGAAUUCUUGGUGUAGCGGUGAAAUGCGUAGAUAUCAAGAGGAACACCUGCGGCGAAGGCGGGUUGCUGGGCCGACACUGACGCUGAUGCGCGAAAGCUAGGGGAGCGAACGGG